UACGAAGGGGGCUAGCGUUGUUCGAAAUUACUGGGCGUAAAGCGCACGUAGGCGGAUCCUUAAGUCAGGGGUGAAAUCCUGGAGCUCAACUCCAGAACUGCCUUUGAUACUGAAGAUCUUGAGUUCGGGAGAGGUGAGUGGAACUGCGAGUGUAGAGGUGAAAUUCGUAGAUAUUCGCAAGAACACCAGUGGCGAAGGCGGCUCACUGGCCCGAUACUGACGCUGAUGCACGAAAGCGUGGGGAGCAAACAGG
RNAcentral lists this ribosomal RNA (253 nucleotides) under uncultured bacterium. RNAcentral describes it as "partial 16S ribosomal RNA". It matches the Rfam family "Bacterial small subunit ribosomal RNA", at positions 524 to 776 of the family's 1533-position model. The record is from RNAcentral.